ACGGCGAGUGAAGCGGCACAGCUCAAAUUUGAAAUCUGGCGCAGCCCGAGUUGUAAUUUGGAGAGGAUGCUUCUAGGCAGCGGCCGGUCUAAGUUCCUUGGAACAGGACGUCAUAUAGGGUGAGAAUCCCGUAUGCGACCGGUUGGCACCUAACACGUAGCUCCUUCUACGAGUCGAGUUGUUUGGGAAUGCAACUCUAAAUGGGAGGUAAAUUUCUUCUAAAGCUAAAUACUGGCCAGAGACCGAUAGCGCACAAGUAGAGUGAUCGAAAGAUGAAAAGCACUUUGGAAAGAGAGUUAAAAAGCACGUGAAAUUGUUGAAAGGGAAGCGCAUGCAACCAGACUUGUCGGCGGUGUUCCGCCAGUCUUUUGACCGGUCUACUCGCCGCCGGCAGGCCAGCAUCACUUGGGACCGCCGGACAAAGGCCACGGGAAUGUAGCUCCUCGGAGUGUUAUAGCCCGCGGCACAAUACGGCGCGCCCCGAGUGAGGUCCGCGCUUCGGCUAGGAUGCUGGCGUAAUGGUCGUAUGCGGCCCGUCU
This 539-nucleotide ribosomal RNA is filed under the name Phaeothecoidea sp. 6717-S3. RNAcentral describes it as "eukaryotic LSU rRNA". It matches the Rfam family "Eukaryotic large subunit ribosomal RNA", at positions 86 to 654 of the family's 3401-position model. The record is from RNAcentral. Lineage: Eukaryota; Fungi; Ascomycota; Dothideomycetes; Mycosphaerellales; Teratosphaeriaceae.